AUUGAACGCUGGCGGCAUGCCUAACACAUGCAAGUCGAACGAGAGGCGGACGGGUGAGUAAUAUAUCGGAACGUGCCUAGUGGCGGGGGAUAAGUACUGGAAACAGGGCUAAUACCGCACACUAUUGGAUCGGCCGGGUUUGGAUUAGCUAGUUGGUGGGGUAAAGGCUCACCAAGGCGACGAUCCGUAGCUGGUCUGAGAGGAUGAGCAGCCACACUGGGACUGAGACACGGCCCAGACUCCUACGGGAGGCAGCAGUGGGGAAUAUUGGACAAUGGGCGAAAGCCUGAUCCAGCCAUGCCGCGUGUAUGAAGAAGGCCUUCGGGUUGUAAAGCACUUUUGGCAGAGAAGCGUUACCUGCAGAAUAAGCACCGGCUAACUACGUGCCAGCAGCCGCGGUAAUAC
RNAcentral lists this ribosomal RNA (405 nucleotides) under uncultured bacterium. RNAcentral's name for it is "partial 16S ribosomal RNA". It matches the Rfam family "Bacterial small subunit ribosomal RNA", at positions 30 to 526 of the family's 1533-position model. The record is from RNAcentral.